This 513-nucleotide ribosomal RNA is filed under the name Enterococcus faecium. RNAcentral's name for it is "bacterial SSU rRNA". It matches the Rfam family "Bacterial small subunit ribosomal RNA", at positions 19 to 504 of the family's 1533-position model. Lineage: Bacteria; Bacillati; Bacillota; Bacilli; Lactobacillales; Enterococcaceae. The record is from RNAcentral.
CUGGCUCAGGACGAACGCUGGCGGCGUGCCUAUACAUGCAAGUCGUACGCUUCUUUUUCCACCGGAGCUUGCUCCACCGGAAAAAGAGGAGUGGCGAACGGGUGAGUAACACGUGGGUAACCUGCCCAUCAGAAGGGGAUAACACUUGGAAACAGGUGCUAAUACCGUAUAACAAUCGAAACCGCAUGGUUUUGAUUUGAAAGGCGCUUUCGGGUGUCGCUGAUGGAUGGACCCGCGGUGCAUUAGCUAGUUGGUGAGGUAACGGCUCACCAAGGCCACGAUGCAUAGCCGACCUGAGAGGGUGAUCGGCCACAUUGGGACUGAGACACGGCCCAAACUCCUACGGGAGGCAGCAGUAGGGAAUCUUCGGCAAUGGACGAAAGUCUGACCGAGCAACGCCGCGUGAGUGAAGAAGGUUUUCGGAUCGUAAAACUCUGUUGUUAGAGAAGAAUAAGGAUGAGAGUAACUGUUCAUCCCUUGACGGUAUCUAACCAGAAAGCCACGGCUAACUAC